GACAGAGGUCCCCGAGCGUUAGGCGGAAUCACUGGGCUUAAAGCGUGUGUAGGCGGACUUCUAAGUACCUUGUGAAAUCCCACGGCUCAACCGUGGAACUGCUUGGUAUACUGGUUGUCUUGGGCCAUCUAGGGGCGAGCGGAACAAACGGUGGAGCGGUGAAAUGCGUAGAUAUCAAGAGGAACACCUGAGGUGAAGACGGGUUGCUGGGCCGACACUGACGCUGAUAGCGCGAAAGCCAGGGGAGCAAACGGG
RNAcentral lists this ribosomal RNA (255 nucleotides) under uncultured bacterium. Its description in RNAcentral is "partial 16S ribosomal RNA". It matches the Rfam family "Bacterial small subunit ribosomal RNA", at positions 524 to 776 of the family's 1533-position model. The record is from RNAcentral.